Molecule: long non-coding RNA, 672 nt
Filed under: Gossypium raimondii (Peruvian cotton)
Lineage: Eukaryota; Viridiplantae; Streptophyta; Magnoliopsida; Malvales; Malvaceae
Description: long non-coding RNA (GRAI_LNC010779)
Source: RNAcentral
AUUUUCCAAAUUCUUUGUUAGCCAGAGUUUUGAAAGCUAAAUAUUUCCCACAUUCAAGUUUCUUAAAUGCAGAGUUGGGGAAUUUACCUUCAUUUACCUGGAAGAGCAUUUGGGCAGCAAGAGGACUCCUCCAAAGAGGGUUGGGUUGGAGAGUUGGUAAAGGUAAUAGCAUUUCUAUUUGGGAAGACAACUGGAUUAAGGGGAUCGAUAAGGUGGAUGAACAAAAUAGAACAAACAGAAGGGAACUACAAUUAGUUUCAGACCUCAUUGAUAAUUCAAGCAGAAAAUGGAAGUCAGACUUAAUUAAUAGUACCUUUCAAGAAGAUAUUGCUCGGAAGAUUCUACUAAUUCCCCUGGCAGAGAUCGAACAUGAGGAUAUUCAGGUGUGGAGUAGAGAACUAUCUGGUCAGUUUUCAGUACGUAGUGCCUAUAAACUAUUACAAGAUGCUUCUGCAGCCAAUGACUACUUAUUUCAGACCGAAAUAAAAAAUUUGUACAAAAAAUUAUGGGGCCAACAAUUGCCAUCAAAAAUUGCAAUUACAAUUUGGAGGAUUUCAUGGGAUUAUAUCCCUCAUUUUGGAAAUCUCAGAUUAAGGAGGGUCAUUUCAACUACCUGUUGUCCACGAUGUAACUCUGGAGUUGAAGAGAGUCUUCAAGUUUUCCGAGAGUGUC